RNAcentral lists this ribosomal RNA (399 nucleotides) under uncultured Clostridium sp. Its description in RNAcentral is "bacterial SSU rRNA". It matches the Rfam family "Bacterial small subunit ribosomal RNA", at positions 14 to 422 of the family's 1533-position model. The record is from RNAcentral. Lineage: Bacteria; Bacillati; Bacillota; Clostridia; Eubacteriales; Clostridiaceae.
UGAUCCUGGCUCAGGAUGAACGCUGGCGGCGUGCCUAACACAUGCAAGUCGAGCGAUCUUCUUCGGAAGAGAGCGGCGGACGGGUGAGUAACGCGUGGGUAACCUGCCCUGUACACACGGAUAACAUACCGAAAGGUAUGCUAAUACGGGAUAACAUAUAAAAGUCACAUGGCUUUUAUAUCAAAGCUUUUGCGGUACAGGAUGGACCCGCGUCUGAUUAGCUAGUUGGUAAGGUAACGGCUUACCAAGGCGACGAUCAGUAGCCGACCUGAGAGGGUGAUCGGCCACACUGGAACUGAGACACGGUCCAGACUCCUACGGGAGGCAGCAGUGGGGAAUAUUGCACAAUGGGCGAAAGCCUGAUGCAGCAACGCCGCGUGAGCGAUGAAGGCCUUCGGG